GAAAGUGGAACAGACAGCAACAAAGCUCUUGGUUAUAUCUGUGAUAAUAAAAAUGAAGGUCAUUGUCAUUUGUCUGGUUGCUUUACUCUUCAUCAAUUAUCGUGAGGCUUUGUCAUGCUUUGCAUGUUUUGGAAAAAACUGUUCAGCUAGACGAGAGGAAUGUGGCUCUCGUUUGUAGAAUCCUGUCUGUGCCACCGUCGAUGCUCCCACCUUUUAUGUGAAAGGCUGCAUGAGUGAGUACAUCUGUAGGCAGCAACAGCAGGCUCCAAAUACAAAAGCUACCUGCUGCAGUUACAACUACUGCAACUGAUAAGGAGGACAUCAGUCAUGGAGAUCUCUCUACAUGAAGCUAAAAUCCAGCUCACAAUUAUAUUUCCUGUAAAACAAAUACAAUGUGUACAUUUCAGGCAGCUGCAAUAAUUAAUUUGUUUUGUUAAGCAAUGGGAAUUUGUAUU
Molecule: long non-coding RNA, 455 nt
Organism: Silurus meridionalis
Lineage: Eukaryota; Metazoa; Chordata; Actinopteri; Siluriformes; Siluridae
Exons: 4
Source: RefSeq, a predicted model, not a curated record